AUGUCCACAGCUGUCCUCACCCAGAAGGCUGAAGAAACCGGGUGGCCCCAUUUGAGACACCUGUGCAGAAAUAGAUUUUUACUUAAUAUGAAAUGCAAAGUACCAGAAAACCACUUAGGCAGUAUUUGGUCUGUUUGCAUUGCCGUGCAGCCUGAGCACACUGCCAGGGAAAAGGGGCACGAGGAAGCCGAGGACGAUUACCUGGGCCAGUCGGUUAAGAGCGAGGCGACCUCUGAUUGGAUACAGCCCCAACGGCCUUCUUCAGUAAUCAAUGUAUUGGUCUUUGAACUGCCCCAGGAUGCUUCAGCACCCCGUGUUUUCUUCAGUGGGGCAGACGCGGGAAACGGGUCAGGCAGCUGAAUAUUCAUAAAGCCAACUCUUCUUAAGAAGGAGGUAUGCCUUUCCAAAGGGUUCAGGUAGAGACCGUAAGGUAAUUAGUUGCCUAAUUUAUUAUGCAUGCUUUUUGGCAUCCAGGAGGUGAGUUGGAUCCUCAAGGUAGAGUCUUCCAGGUCGCUGCUGUUUUGACUGAAUGGAAGGAUGGUGGUGAUACAGACCGGGAGGGAGUUUCAUAACUAAAGUUGUGCUGGUUGCAGCCGCACACCUGCAUUUUCACAAGAGUUCUGGACUGGAAAUACAUUUUAAAAAGUUUUUGGCCCCAUCAUUGUUUAAAAUCCAGGAAUAGAAAUUGUUUUGUAAGUUCAAUGUCAAGAUUUCUUACAUCCUUUUCUGAAGAAAUUUAUGAACAAUAAUAAUGUUACGUUUAUACCUGUUUAUAUGUCAUGCCUCCCACCAAUCCAUACCUAGCAUAAUUUCUUCAGAGGUUCCCUAUACAGAAAUAAAACAGACAGACAGAAAUAAUUUUGGGGACUGAAAGCCAGGCAGGGGAAGACAGAAUUUGGAUCUGUCUGUGUUGCAAAGUGUAUGUAAUACAAAAGGCUGCAUUAAAUUAAAAACACAUUUUUAAAAACGUCUUGUUACCACGAUGGGAAUGAAAUGCUGGAUUAAAUAGGUUUUGGUCUGUUGCAACAAAGCCCUUGUGUUCUUAAAUCACUUGGCCUGCAUUGUCCAGCACAGAAAUUUGGACCCAGAUUGUAAUCCAAGUGGUGAUGUGUCCAUUUUAGCAUGUAGUACCUACUUCGAUAUAUUUCUGAUUUGCUCCAAAAACAACAUCCUUCCAGCUGGCUUGGUCACAGGAAGUGGAAACCUGUUUAAUAGUCAUUUUAUUGCUUGUUUUCCAUAUCGGUUGCUUCUGAAAAGUACCUGUCAC
This 1267-nucleotide long non-coding RNA is filed under the name Naja naja (Indian cobra). RNAcentral's name for it is "lncRNA (ENSNNAG00000018904.1)". The record is from RNAcentral. Lineage: Eukaryota; Metazoa; Chordata; Lepidosauria; Squamata; Elapidae.